UCCUACGGGGGGCAGCAGUGGGGAAUAUUGCACAAUGGGGGAAACCCUGAUGCAGCGACGCCGCGUGAGUGAGGAAGUAUUUCGGUAUGUAAAGCUCUAUCAGCAGGGAAGAAAAUGACGGUACCUGACUAAGAAGCCCCGGCUAACUACGUGCCAGCAGCCGCGGUAAUACGUAGGGGGCAAGCGUUAUCCGGAAUUACUGGGUGUAAAGGGAGCGUAGGCGGCAAGGUAAGUAAGAUGUGAAAGCCCGCAGCUUAACUGCGAGGAUUGCAUUUUAAACUAUCUGGCUUGAGUACAGGAGAGGA
Molecule: ribosomal RNA, 305 nt
Filed under: uncultured bacterium
Lineage: Bacteria
Description: bacterial SSU rRNA
Rfam family: Bacterial small subunit ribosomal RNA
Source: RNAcentral